UCACUGCUCCCUCCCUCGGCCGAGUGCCC
RNAcentral lists this small RNA (29 nucleotides) under Bombyx mori (domestic silkworm). RNAcentral describes it as "ovarian small RNA-25433". The record is from RNAcentral. Lineage: Eukaryota; Metazoa; Arthropoda; Insecta; Lepidoptera; Bombycidae.